This is a non-coding RNA of Mauremys mutica (yellowpond turtle), 633 nucleotides long. The record is from the annotation of a RefSeq genome assembly. Lineage: Eukaryota; Metazoa; Chordata; Testudines; Geoemydidae.
AUGUCUGCCACAGACAUGACCCCCAGCCUGGCCAUCGUCUUCCUCCUGCUGCUCCCCGCGGGUGUCUAUUCCCAGGUCAGCCUGGUGGAGUCCGGAGGGGGAGUCAAGAAACCCGGGGAGACCCUCACACUGACCUGCACCGUGUCCGGAUUCUCCCUCGCUAUCUACGGGGCGCACUGGGCCCGCCAGCCAGCGGGGAAAGGGUUGGACUGGCUGGGAGAACGAUAUCUCUGUGCCAAGGCCGCCCAGAGGAUUCAGGGGGCCUGGGGUCUUAGGCGGCGGGAAGCCCCCUUUGGCGGUGUCCGGUCCCAGGUGCAGCUGGUGGAGUCCGGAGGGGAUGUGAAAAAGCCCGGAGACUCUCUCCGCCUCUCCUGCAAAGCCUCCGGCUUCACCUUCAGCAGCUCCGAGAUGAACUGGGUCCGCCAGGCUCCCGGGAAGGGGCUGGAGUGGGUCUCGGUUAUCAGCAGCAGCGGGGUUACUAUCUACUACUCCGACGCAGUGAAGGGCCGAUUCACCAUCUCCAGGGACAACUCCAACAACCUGCUGUAUCUGCAAGUGACCGGCCUGAAGCCCGAGGACACCGCCCGCUAUUACUGUGCUACACCCCGGUGGGAGUCCUAUAUACUACCUUGA